Molecule: non-coding RNA, 146 nt
Organism: Shigella flexneri 5 str. 8401
Lineage: Bacteria; Pseudomonadati; Pseudomonadota; Gammaproteobacteria; Enterobacterales; Enterobacteriaceae
Source: Rfam
UUAACCACUAAACACUCUAGCCUCUGCACCUGGGUCAACUGAUACGGUGCUUUGGCCGUGACAAUGCUCGUAAAGAUUGCCACCAGGGCGAAGGAAAGAAAUGACUUCGCCUCCCGUAUCUGGAAAGGUGUACAUGGCUUCACAAC